CAACCAAUCAAGCCUGGCUUGGUGUUGGGGUGUGCGGUACCGCGACCCUCAAACAAAACAGCAGUCUAAGCAGACCCUAAGUGUAGUAAAUAUCCUCACUUUUGGGCUUUGUGGUGGCUUGCUUAACCCUAUUUCUUAA
This 139-nucleotide unclassified non-coding RNA is filed under the name uncultured Ascomycota. RNAcentral describes it as "sequence contains ITS2". Lineage: Eukaryota; Fungi; Ascomycota. The record is from RNAcentral.